UGGGGAAUAUUGCACAAUGGGCGAAAGCCUGAUGCAGCGACGCCGCGUGAGGGACGAAGGUCUUCGGAUUGUAAACCUCUUUCAGCAGGGACGAAGCGAAAAUGACUGUACCUGCAGAAGAAGCACCGGCUAACUACGUGCCAGCAGCCGCGGUAAUACGUAGGGGGCGAGCGUUAUUCGGAAUUACUGGGUGUAAAGGGUAUGUAGGCGGCCCUUCAAGUCGCGUGUCAAAGUCCAGUGCUCAACGCUGGGUGUGCGCGCGAUACUGACAGUCUUUAGGGCUGGAGAGGUGAGCGGAAUUCCCGGUGUAGUGGUAAAACACGUAGAGAUCGGGAGGAACACCAGCGGCGCAGGCGGCUCACUAGACAGUUUCUGACGCUAAGAUACGAAAGCGUGGGGAGCAAACA
Molecule: ribosomal RNA, 407 nt
Filed under: uncultured bacterium
Lineage: Bacteria
Description: bacterial SSU rRNA
Rfam family: Bacterial small subunit ribosomal RNA
Source: RNAcentral